RNAcentral lists this small nuclear RNA (117 nucleotides) under Heliconius melpomene (postman butterfly). RNAcentral's name for it is "U5 spliceosomal RNA". It matches the Rfam family "U5 spliceosomal RNA". From Rfam's summary of the family: U5 RNA is a component of both types of known spliceosome. The record is from RNAcentral. Lineage: Eukaryota; Metazoa; Arthropoda; Insecta; Lepidoptera; Nymphalidae.
UAUCUCUGGUUUCCCUUCAAAACGUAUAAAUCUUUCGCCUUUUACUAAAGAUUUCCGUGGAGGGGAACACUCAAAUGAGUCUUAUAUAUUUUUGAAAGUCUUGCAUAUUGCAAGACU